CGAGUGAAGCGGGAAGAGCUCAAAUUUGAAAUCUGGCGGCCUUUGGUCGUCCGAGUUGUAGUCUGGAGAAGCGUCUUCCGCGCCGGACCGUGUACAAGUCCCUUGGAACGGGGCGUCAUAGAGGGUGAGAAUCCCGUCUUUGACACGGACCGCCGGUGCUUUGUGAUGCGCUCUCAAAGAGUCGAGUUGUUUGGGAAUGCAGCUCAAAACGGGUGGUAAAUUCCAUCUAAAGCUAAAUAUUGGCGAAAGACCGAUAGCGAACAAGUACCGUGAGGGAAAGAUGAAAAGCACUUUGGAAAGAGAGUUAAACAGUACGUGAAAUUGUUGAAAGGGAAACGCUUGAAGUCAGUCGCGUCUCUUGGGACUCAGCCUUGCUUUUGCCUGGCGUACUUCCUGAGGUGACGGGCCAGCAUCGAUUUUGACCGUCGGAGAAAGGCCUUGGGAAUGUGGCACCUCCGGGUGUGUUAUAGCCCUGGGUCGCAUGCGACGGUUGGGAUCGAGGACCGCAGCACGCCUUUUUGGCCGGGGUUCGCCCACGUAACGUGCUUAGGAUGCUGGCGUAAUGGCUUUAAGCGACCCGUCUUGAAACACGGACCAAGGAGUCUAACAUGCCCGCGAGUGUUUGGGUGGAAAACCCGGACGCGUAAUGAAAGUGAAAUGUUGGGACCUCUGUCGCGGAGGGCACCGACGCCCGGACCAGACCUUCUGUGACGGCUCCGAGGUAGAGCGUGCAUGCUGGGACCCGAAAGAUGGUGAACUAUGCCUGAGUAGGGUGAAGCCAGAGGAAACUCUGGUGGAGGCUCGUAGCGAUUCUGACGUGCAAAUCGAUCGUCGAACUUGGGUAUAGGGGCGAAAGACUAAUCGA
This 865-nucleotide ribosomal RNA is filed under the name Gomphus clavatus. RNAcentral describes it as "partial large subunit ribosomal RNA". It matches the Rfam family "Eukaryotic large subunit ribosomal RNA", at positions 90 to 938 of the family's 3401-position model. Lineage: Eukaryota; Fungi; Basidiomycota; Agaricomycetes; Gomphales; Gomphaceae. The record is from RNAcentral.